CAGCAGCCGCGGUAAUACGGAGGAUCCAAGCGUUAUCCGGAAUCAUUGGGUUUAAAGGGCCCGUAGGCGGGUCUAUAAGUCAGUGGUGAAAGUUUGCGGCUCAACCGUAAAAUUGCCAUUGAUACUGUAGGUCUUGAAUUAUUGUGAAGUGGUUAGAAUGUGUAGUGUAGCGGUGAAAUGCAUAGAUAUUACACAGAAUACCGAUUGCGAAGGCAGAUCACUAACAAUUAAUUGACGCUAAGGGACGAAAGCGUGGGUAGCGAACAGGAUUAGAUACCCUGGUAGUCCACGCCGUAAACGAUGGUUACUAGCUGUUCGGACUUCGGUCUGAGUGGCUAAGCGAAAGUGAUAAGUAACCCACCUGGGGAGUACGUUCGCAAGAAUGAAACUCAAAGGAAUUGACGGGGGCCCGCACAAGCGGUGGAGCAUGUGGUUUAAUUCGAUGAUACGCGAGGAACCUUACCAGGGCUUAAAUGUAGAUUGACAGGUUUAGAGAUAGACUUUCCUUCGGGCAAUUUACAAGGUGCUGCAUGGUUGUCGUCAGCUCGUGCCGUGAGGUGUCAGGUUAAGUCCUAUAACGAGCGCAACCCCUGUUGUUAGUUGCCAGCGAGUCAUGUCCGGAACUCUAACAAGACUGCCAGUGCAAACUGUGAGGAAGGUGGGGAUGACGUCAAAUCAUCACGGCCCUUACGUCCUGGGCCACACACGUGCUACAAUGGUAGGUACAG
Molecule: ribosomal RNA, 728 nt
Filed under: uncultured Bacteroidota bacterium
Lineage: Bacteria; Pseudomonadati; Bacteroidota
Description: bacterial SSU rRNA
Rfam family: Bacterial small subunit ribosomal RNA
Source: RNAcentral